CUAACUCUGCAACAGUUAUAUUUAGACAAGGAUAAUCUUCACCGGCUGCCAUCCAUCGCUACACAAACAGGCUUUGAAACACUCUGUAGCCUAUUUUGUGUUGUCUUUUGUAAUUGAUGUUUUAAUGAGGGUUAGGAAACUUCAGUGCAAUAUGGAAUGAAGAACAAUCAUUGUUAUUGUAAUAACAACAGUAACAUAGCCACAGAAAGUCAAGUCCCCACCAAGUGCUGGGCUGCUGCACUUCCAAGCGCUUUACAAACAUUUUUGGGCUUGUUUUUCACAGCAGCACUGAGAAGUCAAUCCUUCUAUGCCUGUUUUAUGGAUAAGACUAGUUUGGGGCUCAAGCUCAAAGAAACCCACCAAGGAAGGAGCAGAGUAGAUCAGGGAUUUUAUGAUCCUUUAGGCCAAUUUGGGGUCCCUGUGGCCCUCCUUGGUUUCACUGCAGAUCUCCAAACCCUGGAUGCCUAUGCAUCCACAGCUCAGAGAAAUUGGCAGGCCCCAAGGUACAGUUCACCCUUUCCCAGCAGCUCAGCUCACCCACAGGGCCAAGGACCCCCCAAAAGAGGACAGUGGGAGUGAACUGCAGCAAUAGCUCAUGGCCCAAAAGCCAGAUUCUCCAGCUUGGUUCAUAGUUACAUUAUAGGCCAUUUUAUUCCUUUAUAGUAAGUAGAUCUUUUCAUUUUAUCAGCCAUUUUUGGAUCAACAUACUUGUAUGAUGUAGUCAUUUAACAGACUCAGAAUUAACCGCUUACCAGGCCUGACAAUGCUCAGAUCAGGUAGUCAUGGUCAUUUUUUUAAAAAUGGUUUCAAGUGUUCCUCAAGUAAAGUCAAAAUGGUUUAGAAAUAUUUGACCAGAUUAUCCCAGUGCUGAGACUGACAGAUGCUCUUGUAAACACCCUUCACCCUUCUCCACCGUCUCGAUAUAAUUAAAUAAGUUACAGCAAGUCUCCUUUACUUCCCUUGUGCUCCCUUUACAGAAUAGAGGUAAUUCUCCAAAUACAGAAUGAUUUUAAGGAUUGUACAGGAGUUCAUUCCAUCUCUAAAGUUAAGCAUCCAGAAUUAUUUCAUAAUUCAUUUUCACAGCAUCCCUGUGUUCAGAUUGAAAUAUCUCAUUUACUCCAGGUCCCACGAACCAGAGAACACCCAGGACUCAUCUGAAGGACUCUAGUCAACCAAUGCGUGUUUACAGUUGCUGAGGGGAAAGAAUAAGGGUCAAAUUGCUCUAUUUAAUAAAAUGUUUAAUACAGUGUCUUCCACUGAAAGGGAACUGACCCUGGCAGUAGCUGAUGAAAACUGGAAUCUGCAUUCUGAUUCCAGAUGUAAAAAUAAUGUGAGAAAUUAACUUUAUAUCUAAAAAAAAGUUAAACUACUUAUCCAAAUUACUUGGGAAAUACAAUAUUCUGAUGAGAAGAGAUGCCAUUAUACACCUUAUGAAAAUUUCCAGUGUUGAAAGAUUGUCAACAUCUUUACAGGUACCACAUUAAAACUAUACUGACGGUGGUUUUGUGUUUCUCCUUGUUAAUUUGCAGGGCACUUGUGGAUCUAUAGACCUCAGGGUCAUUGAUAUGUAUGGCUUAUGGUUGAAAAUUCUCUAGAGGAAAGCAUUUAGUUACUUGGCUUCGGUUCAUUUGAGUUACAAAUAAGCUAGAGUAGACUUCUGUGUAUUCCUUUCUUGAUGAGAUGCAACUUUCAACCGAGAGGGAAACUGGCACUGAUUUCUCUGUGGUAACCCUUGUUCUCUGUGUCUUUUCUGGAUACAACAGUUCUGUGGAAGCAAAUCAUUGAACGCAAUGGAGGAGUCCUCACCAGUGCCUUGAAUGUCAGCUGCCUGGCGAAGGUCACUGACGGCUUCACCCAAGGACAUAUAGUCGAAGUGGUUAAAGGCGUGCUCACAGAUCAGAGAAUCCGGCGGCAAAUUCAUAAACCUCUCACUGCAGUUGAGUUUAUUACAGCGAUAACCAGCAUGAAUCCAGUGUACAAAGAGGAAGAAGAGAGCUUCAAGAACUGGUAUGCCAAAACUCCUCUGGGUAAAAAACGUGCCUUGGCGAUAACAGGAGGCAGCACAGAAAAGGCAAAGGACAAAGGGAAAAGGAAAUAAAAGAAAGAGAAAAAGGC
Molecule: small RNA, 2115 nt
Filed under: Pan troglodytes (chimpanzee)
Lineage: Eukaryota; Metazoa; Chordata; Mammalia; Primates; Hominidae
Description: retained intron
Source: RNAcentral